AGCUCCAGUAGCGUAUAUUAAAGUUGUUGCAGUUAAAAAGCUCGUAGUUGGAUUUCUGACUGACCUCGGUGGCCCGGUCUCCUUUUUAGGAACUGAGUGCUGUCAGUGCGUUUGUCAUCCUUCCAGAGAGUUGUGCCUACCGCUUUUGGCGGCCGGGCGCUGCGAUCUGGAUCUUUUACUUUGAAAAAAUUAGAGUGUUUCAAGCAGGCUUACGCUUUGAAUACAUUAGCAUGGAAUAAUAAUAUAGGACUUUGGUUCUAUUUUGUUGGUUUCUAGGACUGAAGUAAUGAUUGAUAGGGAUAGUUGGGGGUGCUAGUAUUCAGCGGCCAGAGGUGAAAUUCUUGGAUUCGCUGAAGACUAACUACUGCGAAAGCAUUCACCAAGGAUGUCUUCUUUAAUC
This 400-nucleotide ribosomal RNA is filed under the name phytoplankton environmental sample. Its description in RNAcentral is "partial small subunit ribosomal RNA". It matches the Rfam family "Eukaryotic small subunit ribosomal RNA", at positions 587 to 978 of the family's 1831-position model. The record is from RNAcentral.